UAUGUAGGCGGAUUAGAAAGUCAGGAGUGAAAUCCCGGGGCUCAACCCCGGAAUUGCUCUUGAAACUCCUAAUCUAGAAUCCCGGAGAGGUCAGGGGAAUUCCGAGUGUAGAGGUGAAAUUCGCAGAUAUUCGGAGGAACACCAGUGGCGUAGGCGCCUGACUGGACGGGUAUUGACGCUCAGAUACGAAAGCGUGGGUAGCAAACAG
RNAcentral lists this ribosomal RNA (208 nucleotides) under uncultured bacterium. Its description in RNAcentral is "partial 16S ribosomal RNA". It matches the Rfam family "Bacterial small subunit ribosomal RNA", at positions 568 to 775 of the family's 1533-position model. The record is from RNAcentral.